CAGUUUGAAUCGCGGUCCGACGGAGGAGUGGGCGCCGGGAUCUCGCUGCGCGUCCGCCUGGCCUCGACUCUUUCUCGCUUAUCCGAUCUUCAUCACGGUCCGAGAUGGCUGGCGGUAAGGCUGGAAAAGACUCCGGAAAGGCCAAGACAAAGGCGGUUUCCCACUCGCAGCGAGCCGGCUUACUAUUCACCAACACCUGAAAUCUAGGACAACCAGCCACGGACAUGUGGGCGCCACCGCCGCUGUGUACAGCGGAGCCAUCCUGGAGUACCUCACUGCAGAGCUCGCUAUUCGUGGAGAUGAAGAAUUGGACUCUCUGAUCAAGGCUACAAUUGCUGGUGGUGGUGUCAUCCCGCACAUCCAUAAGUCUCUGAUUGGGAAGAAGGGACAACAGAAGACCGUCUAAGGAUGCCUGGAUUUCUUACUAUCUCAGGACUCUUGUUCUUAACAGCUGUCCAGUGUCAGUGAUUCCAGUGGACUGAUCUCUGUGAAAAACACAAUUUUGCCUUUUGUAAUUCUAUUUGAGCAAGUUGGAGGCUUAGUUAGCCUUCCAAACCAACCAAAUUUCUGCAUUCGAGUCUUAACCAUAUUUAAGUGUUACUGUGCCUUCAAAGAAGCUAUCGAUUCUGAAGUAGUGGGUUUUGAUUGAGUUAACUGUUUUUAAAAAACUUGUUUGGAUUUAAAUUGUGAUGCAGAAGUUAUAGUAAUAAACAUUUGGUUUUGUACAGACAUUAUUUCCACUCUGGUGGAUAAGCUCAAUAAAGGUCAUAUCCCAAACU
Molecule: non-coding RNA, 779 nt
Organism: Myodes glareolus (Bank vole)
Lineage: Eukaryota; Metazoa; Chordata; Mammalia; Rodentia; Cricetidae
Source: RefSeq, a predicted model, not a curated record